Molecule: ribosomal RNA, 497 nt
Filed under: uncultured bacterium
Lineage: Bacteria
Description: partial 16S ribosomal RNA
Rfam family: Bacterial small subunit ribosomal RNA
Source: RNAcentral
GAUGAACGCUGGCGGCGUGCCUAAUACAUGCAAGUCGAGCGAACAGACGAGGAGCUUGCUCCUUUGACGUUAGCGGCGGACGGGUGAGUAACACGUGGGUAACCUACCUAUAAGACUGGGAUAACUUCGGGAAACCGGAGCUAAUACCGGAUAAUAUUUCGAACCGCAUGGUUCGAUAGUGAAAGAUGGCUUUGCUAUCACUUAUAGAUGGACCUGCGCCGUAUUAGCUAGUUGUUAAGGUAACGGCUUACCAAGGCAACGAUACGUAGCCGACCUGAGAGGGUGAUCGGCCACACUGGAACUGAGACACGGUCCAGACUCCUACGGGAGGCAGCAGUAGGGAAUCUUACGCAAUGGGCGAAAGCCUGACGGAGCAACGCCACGUGAGUGAUGAAGGUCUUCGGAUCGUAAAACUCUGUUAUUAGGGAAGAAUAAACGUGUAAGUAACUGUGCACGUCUUGACGGUACCUAAUAAGAAAGCCACGGCUAACUACGUG